CACACGGAUAACAUACCGAAAGGUAUGCUAAUACGGGAUAAUAUAUUUGAGAGGCAUCUCUUAAAUAUCAAAGGUGAGCCAGUACAGGAUGGACCCGCGUCUGAUUAGCUAGUUGGUAAGGUAACGGCUUACCAAGGCGACGAUCAGUAGCCGACCUGAGAGGGUGAUCGGCCACAUUGGAACUGAGACACGGUCCAAACUCCUACGGGAGGCAGCAGUGGGGAAUAUUGCACAAUGGGCGAAAGCCUGAUGCAGCAACGCCGCGUGAGUGAUGAAGGCCUUCGGGUCGUAAAACUCUGUCCUCAAGGAAGAUAAUGACGGUACUUGAGGAGGAAGCCCCGGCUAACUACGUGCCAGCAGCCGCGGUAAUACGUAGGGGGCUAGCGUUAUCCGGAUUUACUGGGCGUAAAGGGUGCGUAGGCGGUCUUUCAAGUCAGGAGUGAAAGGCUACGGCUCAACCGUAGUAAGCUCUUGAAACUGGGAGACUUGAGUGCAGGAGAGGAGAGUGGAAUUCCUAGUGUAGCGGUGAAAUGCGUAGAUAUUAGGAGGAACACCAGUUGCGAAGGCGGCUCUCCGGACUGUAACUGACGCUGAGGCACGAAAGCGUGGGGAGCAAACAGGAUUAGAUACCCUGGUAGUCCACGCUGUAAAC
This 652-nucleotide ribosomal RNA is filed under the name uncultured bacterium. RNAcentral's name for it is "bacterial SSU rRNA". It matches the Rfam family "Bacterial small subunit ribosomal RNA", at positions 136 to 807 of the family's 1533-position model. The record is from RNAcentral.